RNAcentral lists this ribosomal RNA (307 nucleotides) under uncultured eukaryote. RNAcentral's name for it is "partial 18S ribosomal RNA". It matches the Rfam family "Eukaryotic small subunit ribosomal RNA", at positions 1470 to 1796 of the family's 1831-position model. The record is from RNAcentral.
CCCUUAGACGUUCUGGGCCGCACGCGCGCUACACUGACGAAGGCAACGAGCUUUCCUUUACCGAAAGGUACGGGUAAUCUUUUGAAACUUCGUCGUGCUGGGGAUAGAUCCUUGCAAUUUUUGAUCUUAAACGAGGAGUGCCUAGUAAGCGCAAGUCAUCAACUUGCGUUGAUUACGUCCCUGCCCUUUGUACACACCGCCCGUCGCUACUACCGAUUGAAUGGUUUAGUGAGGCCUUCGGAUCCGCGACUCGUUUGUGGAGAAGUUGGACAAACUCAGUCAUUUAGAGGAAGUAAAAGUCGUAACA